RNAcentral lists this ribosomal RNA (429 nucleotides) under uncultured bacterium. Its description in RNAcentral is "bacterial SSU rRNA". It matches the Rfam family "Bacterial small subunit ribosomal RNA", at positions 355 to 796 of the family's 1533-position model. The record is from RNAcentral.
UGGGGAAUCUUGCACAAUGGGCGAAAGCCUGAUGCAGCGACGCCGCGUGAGGGAUGACGGCCUUCGGGUUGUAAACCUCUUUCGGCAGGGACGAAGCGCAAGUGACGGUACCUGCAGAAGAAGCACCGGCUAACUACGUGCCAGCAGCCGCGGUAAUACGUAGGGUGCGAGCGUUGUCCGGAAUUAUUGGGCGUAAAGAGCUCGUAGGCGGUUUGUUGCGUCGGCCGUGAAAACCUGGGGCUUAACUCCGGGCUUGCGGUCGAUACGGGCAGACUUGAGUUCGGCAGGGGAGACUGGAAUUCCUGGUGUAGCGGUGAAAUGCGCAGAUAUCAGGAGGAACACCGGUGGCGAAGGCGGGUCUCUGGGCCGAUACUGACGCUGAGGAGCGAAAGCGUGGGGAGCGAACAGGAUUAGAUACCCGGGUAGUCC